GCAAAGGUCGGGUUUAACAUCUCCUCUGCAGAGUCCAAUGGCGUUUACUUUAUCAGUGUUUUGGCCAUAAGAGAAAUUGUAGAAACCGUAGUUGAUUUGAGUGUUGGAAGUGAGAUUGGAUAAAAGGGUGUUGAGGUUGUUUUGAUAGGUGCUAUUGGCUGUGUAGUUGCCAUUAUUGUUUAUACAAUAGUUGCGCAAAAAAUUUGGUUGGCCUUGGGCUUGAGAUACGAUAAUGAUAAUAAAAAGGAGAAAAGAGUAAAGGGAAAAUAAUAGCUUGCUAGAUACAAUUGUCAUUGUGAUAUAUUGAUCUCUGUCUUGGAACAAGAACAGGUAAUUAAGAAAUGGAGGAUUGAAGCUUUGGAUAUGAAAGUCAAUCAGUUAAUUUGAAUUGGGUGAAAUGAUUUGUUGAGUAAAAUAUGUGGUUUGAGACAAAGCUUCUAGUCUUUUAUCAUUCGAUUUGUGUGAAAGGUCGUUUGAGUAAUGUUUCAAAGUGAGACUUUUGGGUCAAUGGAUUUAGUAGUAACUUUUGUCAUAUGUUACAAAUGCGCAUUGCAUGGAAACAAGUACAAGAUGGAAAAUGCUCGGAAGUUCUUCAAUUUGAAGACUUGUAUGGUUACAAGAUCAAAUGAAAAUGAAAGGUGUAGACGCUGUCAAAAUAAGAAAACGUUAAAAAAAAGUAAAAACAAUUAUUAUAGCUAAAAGGCGACCCUAACGUGUCCCUUUGUUUGUUUUUCUACUAUGCUUAAUUAAUCAUAUAUACGAAGAAAAGUAACAAAUUUAGCAUAUACAAUGAUCAAACAUUUUUGACAAAUAUGAAUAUAACAAGAGUUUAAUUGUGGUGGGUUGAUGGUCCAAAACAACUCUGCACAUACAACUAAUCAAAACAUUUUGAAUUGUAAUGUUUAACUCACAUAAAUUAAAAUCAUUAAUUGAUGUGGUGAUUCACUAGAAUAUUCGAAUAAAUUUUUCAUCUUUUACUCAUUAUUCACAUGGCCCCAUAAUUCAAUCAUUUUACAUAAACGAAAAAUAUUCACGAGGAAGAAAAAAAACUAAAUGACAAUUACAAAAAUGAAUACCUUAGUCUAUAAAUCUAAAUAUCGAUGAAUACAAGUUAGGCUAAAUUAUAUCGAAGAUCAUUUAAGUUAUUUAAUGGUCUUUUAAAUUUUUUCUUAUUACUUACGGUUUUUAAGUUAGUCUAAAUUUUUUUCUUAUACUGACAUCCCUGCCGUAAUAGCUGCUGUUCCUGCUGUAUUCCAACCAGCAGCUGUUCCAGCUGUUGCUAGUGUUGUUCCAACUGCUGUCCAGCCGCGGUGGCAGCCUCCCGAGCAUGGCCAUAUGAAAUGCAACGUUGAUGUGGCGUUUUCCAGUCAACGUAACAAAAGAGGCGUAGGCAUUUGCAUUCGUGACUAAGAUGGAGUCUUUGUUUUGGCUAGAACAGUCACCUUUGUUGGUGUAUACCCGAUUGACAUAGGUGAAGCUUUAGGCCUUUACCAUGCGAUUCAAUGGGCGAGUGAUAUGCACUUAGAUAAUUUUGAUUUUGAAGUCGACUCCAAAACCACAAAAGACGCUCUUUACUCGAGUCGGGAAGACAUAACUGAAUUUGGCAACAUCAUCACAUAUUCCCGGUCUUUGCUCUCGUCCAAGUUUACCAACUCUCGAGUGGAGUUUGUUUGGCGACAAGCUAUUAUAAUGUGGUGUCUCACACUCUCGCAGGGAAAGCCACAUUUCUCGCUAGUCCCACUAUUUAUUUUCAUAUACCCAAUUGUAUUGAAACUUUGAUUACUAAUGAAAUGCUAUAAACACUUUUCUCUAAAAAAAAAAGUUAUUUAAUCAUAACAAAUUAAUCCUUUAAGUAUUGUUUGUAACACUUAGGUGCUUUAAGUUAUUUAAUUGUAACUUUUAGAUCCCGAAUAACUUGCAUUUUUAAGAUAUGAAAUUCCUCAAAUUGUUAAGGUAAAAUAACACAAAGGACCUUGUUGGUACAAGAAAAACUUAAAGGACCAUCUUGUUCGAGCUAAUUAACUUAAAUGACCUAAGUGAUAUGAAAAAAACUUAAAUACCAAUUUAUUACAAUAAAAUAACUUAAUGAUCUCUAAUAUAAUUUAACCCUAUAAUUAUUAUUGCAAGUUUUCUAUGACUGAUUAUUAUUGUAAGUGUUCGCCAACAAAACCACUUCAAACGAAUAAUUGAGUUAUUUUAUUUUUGAUAUUCUUUGGUGGAUGAGUCAGUGAAACGGAUACAUUUGUUAUUGAUUAUUUGUUUUGAUUCUUUCCUGGUCAAUUUGGGCGUCUUGCCUUUUAGGGGUUCUAGUUUAGAGGCAGCCGUUGUUUUUGUUGACUGGGUUUGUUUUCUUCUGUUUUGGUACUGUUAAUUAUUUCACAUUCGUUAAUAUAUUUUACAUUCGCUAAUAUUUUUGAUUGAUUUAACUACUGUGUUAAAUCAUUGUUGUGUGUUUGUUACAUGGAAAUUGAUAUGAUCACAGAAGUAAAAGUGGCUUUACGUGUUUUGGCAUGUAUAUUGGGUCUAAAUGAGUUAUGAUACAUAAAUACCCUUAGGUGGCAAUACACCCUUGACACCCAUAUAAAAAUCUGACAUGUGGCCAUAUGGAUCCCGCACAAGUAUACUUUCUCUUUCUUCUUCUCUUCUCUCUUCCUAAUACAUGGGGUGUACAAGAGUGUAUGCAAUUAAAAGGUGUCUAUGUAACAUUUUCCUUCGAGAUAUGUAUCUGUGUAUAUAUUGCUUCUAUGUUUCUGAAUAAAACACAACCAAAUUAUUUUCAUCUUCUCUUUUCAUUUUACAUGGCAUCAGAGCGGUAAAGACCUGCUCUCUCUCUCUCUCUCUCUUUCCUUUUUUUUUACCUUUCAAACAUUUUUUCUAAACCAUUAUGGCUAGGCGAUGGAAGCAAAUUAGAUUCCAACAAAUCUGAUUCCAAAAGCCCUUACUCCCUUCACCAUUCUGAUCAUCCUGGAAUGGUUCUGGUUUCUAAACCUCUCGAUGGAGACAAUUAUUCGACUUGGCGUCGAGCAACUACUAUCUCAUUGAAUGCAAAAUCUAAAUUUGGUUUUGUUGAUGGAACCCUCAAAGCACCAUCUGCCAAAAACAAACCAGAAGACUAUGCAUCAUGGAAAAAAUGCAAUGAUAUGGUUUUGUCAUGGAUUCUUAAUUCAUUGACCCCUGAUAUUGCAGACAGCGUUAUUUUUUAUGACACUGCUCAUGAAAUUUGGGAAGAUCUUCAAAAUCGUUUCUUUCAAAGCAACGCACCACACAUUUUUCAGAUCGAGAGAGAGAUUGCUUGCCUUACUCAAGAUCAAAUGACAGUUGCUGCCUACUAUACAAAGAUGAAAAAAUUGUGGGAUGAGUUAGGAUCCUACAAUGAUGUUGUUUGUACAUGUGGAGCAAACAACAAAAGGCGCAAGUUGAUGCAAUUUCUCAUGGGGUUGCACGAAUCUUAUAGUGUUGUUUGUGGUCAACUCCUUUUGAUGAAUCCUUUGCCUGAUGUUUCACAAGCUUAUUCUUCCAUCAUCCAAGAAGAAAAGCAACGAAAUUUGGGUGCAAGAAGAGAGACAAUAGAAGCUUCUGCCAUGGCUGUCCAAAAGGAGGAACCAAUAGCUCUUGCAAUUCGACACAAAUCUGGCCCGUCCUCUCGUCCCAAUUCUAAUAAUCGUAAAUCGCUGCAUUGUUCCUACUGUGAAAGAGAUCAUCAAACCAGAGAGACAUGCUGGAAGUUACAUGGUUAUCCACCAGGAUAGUCCAAGCAUACCACGGUCAAAAACUUCAAGUCCAACGGCAACAAUCAAUCUUCUGCAAAUAAUGUCAGAGAAACCUCAGCAGCACAUGUUCAGCCCCUUGUGAAUGGACUAAUCGAAUUACAAUUACAACAAAUUUUGUUUGUUAUGGAGGGCAAUGGAGCAUCUCAAUCAGCUGCUCCCAAGGCCAAUACUGUCAAUCUUUCUUCAGGUUUGUCUGCAUCCAAGUUGAUAAUUGAUAGUGGCGCAACUGAUCAUAUAACUUGUUCUCCAUCUUUACUUGUCAACAGUAAAGAAAAUACUUUUUUACCACCAGUUGUUAUGCCAAAUGGAAAUCAAGCUCCAAUUAUUUCUAUUGGAAAUUUACCUUUGAGUCCUAUUAUUUAUUUGAAGAAUGUACUUGGGGUGCCAUCUUGGAAGGUGGAUUUGAUAACUGUGAGUCGAGUCACAAGAGAUUUAAAUUGUUCAGUAACUUUUUACCCUCAAUUGUGACGGGGAUGACGAUUGGUUUGGGUGAACAACGAAAUGGACUCUAUUACUUGGUUACAAUGAAUAAGUCACACAAGGUCAAUACCAUCAAAGCUGCCUACACUUCAAACACCUCAAGUAUCUUGUGGCAUAGACGUCUAGGACACUUAUCCUCUUCUAGAUUAGACUUUAUGGCCAAAAAUUCCUUCAUUUCCCUUUCAAGCAAAAUAAUAAUUGUACUGUUUGUGCUCUUGCUCUUGCAAGACAAACUAGGCUUCCUUUCUCCACAAGUUCAAUUUCCUUUGUUAAACCUUUUGAAUUAAUACAUUGUGAUAUUUGGGGGCCUUUCAAAGUUCCUUCUCUUUCUGGUGCAAAAUAUUUUUUGACGAUUGUAGAUGAUUUUUCUCGUUUUACUUGGGUUUUUCUAAUGCAUCAUAAAAGUGAAACAACAAAAUUUCUAACCAAUUUUUUCUCUUAUGUGAAAACCCAAUUCAAUACUGCUAUAGCAAAUAUUCGGGUUGACAAUGGAAGAGAGUUUUUCUCUAUGCGAGAUUUUUUUAAACAGCAGGGCACUAAUUACCAACAUACUUGCGUUUAUACACCUCAACAAAAUGGGGUGGUUGAGCGCAAACAUAGACAUAUCCUUGAGUCGGCUCGAGCUCUUCGUUUUCAAUCGCAUCUCCCUUUAAACUUUUGGGCAGAAUGUGUCUCCGCUGCUGUUCAUAUAAUUAAUAGGUUGCCCACAUCCAUACUUUCUCACCAAACUCCUUUCGAAAAACUUUAUGAAAAACUUCCCUCUUAUUCCCACCUUAGAGUUUUCGGAUGUCUAGCUUAUGCUACAAAUGUUCAUGUGUCCCAUAAAUUUUCUCCACGUGCCACCAAAUGUUUUUUUAUUGGUUAUCCAGUUGGUCAGAAAGCUUACAAAUUAUAUGAUAUUGAAUCUAAUUAAGUCUUCACUAGUCGUGAUGUCAUUUUCCACAAGGAUAUUUUUCCCUAUGAAUCCAUUUCUUCUUCACCACCUAAAACAGAUUAUGUCAUACCCAUUGUUGUCUUAGAUUCCUCACUUGUCCAGCUAACACACGAAGAAUCUACCCUUGCCACUUCAUCUUCUCCAUCAGGCCCCUUGCGUCGUUCUCAAAGAACUCAUGUUCCCCCUGCAGCCUUGAGUGACUAUGUGUGUAACCAAGUAAGUUCUCCCGAAUCAUUGUCAUCCUCUUCAUCUUUUCCAAGUAAAGGUACACGAUAUCUUCUCUGCAAUUUUAUAUCAUAUGAUUGUUACUCACCACAACACAGACCCUUCAUUGCUACUAUUACUAACGAUGUUGAACCUACAUGUUAUGAACAAGCUGCCUCCCAAUCUCAUUGGCCAAUAGCAAUGCAAUCUGAGUUGGAUGCUUUAGAGUCCAAUAAUACUUGGUCUCUCACACCUCUCCCUCUUGGAAAGCAAGCUAUUGGUUGUCGUUGGGUGUACAAAAUCAAGUGCAAAUCAGAUGGUUCUCUUGAACGCUAUAAAGCACGGUUAUUAGCAAAAGGUUACACACAACUUGAAGGGAUUGAUUACCAUGACACUUUUUCGCCUACUGCUAAAAUGGUUACAAUUCGUUGUUUAUUAGCUUUAGCUGCUGCUCAAAAUUGGUCACUUCAUCAACUUGAUGUCCACAAUGCAUUUCUUCACGGAGAUCUUUCUGAAGAAAUUUAUACGUCUCUUCCUCCUGGUUUUCAGCGACAGGGGGAGAACCUUGUGUGUCGCCUUAAUAAAUCCUUAUAUGGAUUAAAACAAGCCUCUCGCCAAUGGUUUGCCAAGUUCUCUACAGCUAUUCAAGGUGCUGGAUUUAUUCAAUCAAAAGCAUAUUACUCACUGUUUAUAUGUAAGAAAGGCAAAUCAUUUACUGCCUUACUGAUCUAUGUUGAUGACAUCCUCAUAACUGGUAAUGAUCCUAAUGCCAUAACUGUUCUCAAACAGUUUUUGCAUAAUCAAUUAUGGAUUAAAGAUUUGGGUGACUUGAAGUAUUUUUUGGGCAUGGAGGUUUCUCGGUCAAAGAAAGGUAUAUUCAUUUCGCAAAGGAAAUAUGCUUUGGAAAUUCUAAAAGAUGGAGGAUGUUUGGGAACUAAGCCUGUGAACUUUCCAAUGGAGCAAAAUGUCAAAUUGUCAGAUGAAGGAGAAUUGUUAAAAGAUCCAUCCUCAUAUAGGAGACUUGUAGGACGCCUGAUUUAUUUGAAUGUUACUCGUCCAGAUAUCAACUACUCAGUGCACAUAUUGAGUAGAUUCAUGCAUACUCCUCGAAAACCUCAUAAGGAAGCUGCCAUGCGAAUAUUGCGGUAUCUAAAGAACAAUCCAGGUCAAGGUUUAUUUUUCUCUUCCCAAAAUGAUUUAUCUUUGCGUGCCUUUUGUGAUUCGGAUUGGGGAGGUUGCCCAAUAUCCAGAAAAUCAACUACAGGGUAUUGUGUUUUUUUGGGAUCCUCUCUAAUUUCUUGGCGAACAAAAAGACAGAAAACAGUUUCUCUGUCAUCAGCUGAAGCAGAAUAUAGAGCUAUGACAGGCGCAUGUUGUGAGUUGUCUUGGCUACGUUCAUUGUUGAAGGAUUUGGAGAUAUUGCACUCAAAGGAAGAACUGUUGUAUUGUGACAACAAAGCAGCUCUUCACAUUGCGUCCAAUCCGGUAUUUCAUGAAAGAACUCGACAUAUAGAGAUUGAUUGUCAUUUUAUUCGUGAUAAAAUUCAAGAUGGUUCAAUUGCAACUGAGUAUGUUCCUUCAGCAGAACAAGUUGCCAAUGUGUUCACUAAACCACUAGGGAAGGAAUCCUUUCUUACAAUGAAGUGCAAGUUCGGAGUUCUUAAUAUCCACUCUCCAACUUGAGGGGGAGUGUUAGGAAAGUCAACUAUAUUCUAUGAUUCUUGUUGUUAUGAGAGUUAAUUGUAUCCCAUGAUUCUAGCUGUAAAUAUGGUAACAGUUAUAUUAGUCAAAUUAGAAUAGCUUGAUUGUAGGAAUAUAUUGCUGAGUUAUAACAGCAUAAUCAACACAUUAGAGAUAUGUAUAUGUGUAUAUAUUGCUUCUACGUUUCUGAAUAAAACACAACCAAAUUAUUUUCAUCUUCUCUUUUCAUUUUACAUGAACUAUCUCAAUUUGAUCCAUUGUUGUUGUUCUUCUUAUUAUUAAUAUGAGUUUAUUCUUAUUGUUGUUGAUAUUUUGAGCUUGUUGUUCUUGUUAUUAUUUAUAUUACGGAGACGGAUGACCCUAUAUUUGAAGCAGAACUCCACCAUGGAGGACAAUUUUUAAAUGGGAAGUUUGGUAAUGAAUAUAUAGGAGGUAGAACAAUGGAAGGGCUUGAAUAUGAUUCAGAUCACUAGAAAUUAUUGCUGUAUUGAAGAAGUUAAAAUACAAUGGUUAAUCCGAGAGUAGGAGCUCCUUAAGGAUAUGGACACAUCAAAGCAAAUUUAUGUAGCAGUCAUCGAUGAAUGAUAUGAAGCUCGACAAGGUGAACAUACUGGCACUUGUAAUGUAACCUGAUAAAUUUGAGAUCCAAGACUAAAGUAAGCCUCCAAAUAUAGCUGUAAUAGGGUUGCUUAAACAAUUGUCAUCGAUAUUAACCCAUUUAGGUUGACCUGGUCGUAUUGACUUGGGAUCUAGGACUGUGCUCCUCCUCAAGGUCUCAGGUUUUGAUUCUCCCUCUGCAAUUUGGAUGAAUUAAUUUAACUUCUUUUAAAAAAAAAAAAAAUCAUCAACAUUAAUAAUGAGCAAUUGUGAAGAGAAGAAUUUGAUUAAACAUACUCCAUCUGUCCCUAUAUCUAAACACUCAUUUGACUUUAUUUUUGUCCCUAAACGUAAACCCAUUUUCAACUUACUAGAUGCAUUUAUUAUAUUUUUCCUAAACAUACCCCUAAUUAAUACUACUACCUCCGUCCCUAAUUAUAAAACUCUUUUGAGAAAAAAAAAAUUUCCCUUUUUAUAAGACUCAUUUGCUAUUUCCAACUACAUUAAUUAUUUCUUUACGCCUCCUAUUUGUUCGUGGCGGGCGACGUGAACUUUGACUGGAUCCGGGUAUUCAAUCUCGCCGCUGAGAUGCUCAGUUGACUCCUUAACCUUGAUAGGAAGAUGGCUUAUUCAAUAAUUGGUGCAAAAUCGUAAGGAACUUUGGAAUGAACUAAUGCGAAUGGGUGUAAGCCUCGCUGCUCGGAAACACCCAAUGCUGACCACACUUAGAGAGAGAGAGAGAGAGAGAGAGAGAGAGAGAGAGAGAGAGAGAGAGAGAGAGAGAGAGAGAGAGAGAGAGAGAGAGAGAGACGAAAACAUAGGUAAUGGUAGUGCCCCUAUUUAUUAUACAUCUUUUUCUUCAAUCAGCAAUAAAUAGUAUGUUGAAAACAUAAACAAACUCUCUAUCUUAAAGGAUAAAUUUGUAAAAACGACGGUAUUUACAAACAACUUUAAUAUAAAUAUUCACUAAAUUAAUUCCCGUGAUUUUGGCAAAAGGAUCUUAUAUAUAGGGACGGAGGUAGUACUAACUUAUUUUGAAAUAUGAAAAGUCAAAUUUAAUACACAUACAAACAAAUGACAAUUUGGUAAUAUUAACACAAAAAAUAGACACAUUAAUUGCACUAACAAUUUUUUUUAAGAAAUGUAAAAAAAUGCAAAAAGUGUUUGGAUAUAGAAACGGAGGAGUAUUUAUCUAGAAGACUUGUAUUCGGUGAACCAGAAAAGCAAGUGUUAUGAGCAACACACAUGUUGUUAGCUUCCAUUGUAAGAUGAUAAGACGAGAUCGUAGUAUUAGAAACACAAUUAGACUUGUGGUUUUCCAAGACUUCCACGCCUCAUCAACGAAGAUGUUGGUAUUAUGUGAAGUGAGCCUUUGCCUGAACCUAACUUUCGAAAGGAUCAAACUCAUGUAAAAAAGAUAAGUCUAUAUCGUAUUACAUGUCAACCAUAUGCAUAAUUUUUCUUUGACUAGAUCAAACUUAAACCUUGCAAAGUAUAACUCCUUCCAUCAUAUUCUCACGUGUAUUAAGAACCAUUGAAAUUCCCAUCCAUAGCAAUCUCUUUGGAUUGGAAUCGUGAACUUUUUUCCAUAUAUCAUGGUGGGGUACUGUUUCACAACACUUUUCUCCCUUCAUGGUGGGGUACUGUUUGGCCGUGUUGCCUUGUUGAUUGGUUUAAAUAAUAUCGCAUCUCCCCAUAAAAUUCUAACGUUAGAAGUCAAUAACAUCAUGUUGUCAAGAUGUUUGAAGAAAACAACAGCAUCAAAAUUUGUUCUAGAGGAAGAGUACUAGGAAAAAUUUAUGGUAAGUCAACUCAAAAGUCUAGCACCUCACUUUUACAAAUUUACAUAAUACUGCCUCCAUCCAUCAUUCCAUCUACUCUUCAUUUUUUACUUCAAUUUUUUUUUUUAAAUGGCUCUGUUUCCCUUUCUUUACUAGUUUCUCUUCCGAGACAAUAUUAGCUAGGUUAAAUAUAUUUUUUAUUCCUAUAGAUAUGUCAAAUUUUUGUUUUAGUCCCUUUAAAUUUUUUCUUCAACUUUUAGUCCUUCAAAAAAAAUUCAUCUUUACCUUUGCUCUCUCCUUUAAAGUAAACUCAUGUAGAAUUUGUAUUUUUCAAUAAAAUUUUGCAAAAAUUAUAAUAUUAUAAGUAUCUCUCCAAAAAAAAAAAAAUAAGAUUUUUUGCCAAAACAUGAAUUAAAUAUAUAUUUUUGGCUGUAAAAAAUUUAUAUUUAAUUUAUGUUUUGAUAAAAAAUUCUAUUUUUUUUUUUUUGAAUGAUUUUUACAAUAUUGUAAAAAAUACGAAGAUUUACUUUAAAAUAGGGACCAAAAGUAGUGAUUGAAAAUUUUAUAGAGACUAAAAGUUGAAGGAAAAUUUUAGAAUGAUUAAAACAAAAAAUUGGUAUAUUUAUGGGGACUAUAAAAUAUUUAACCCAUUAACUAUGAUUUCUAAAAUUUCUCAUAUGGCCAAGACCCAGACAAAGCAUAGGCCACUGGGUUGCGUCACGUAGAUCUUGAGCCAAAUAAGUGUUGUAUAAACCUAGACAAGUCCAAUGUCGGGCGCCAUGUGUGGACAAAAAAAACUAAAAAACUAAAUCAAACUGCUAAACUGAAGUGAAUCAAAAUAAAAAAAAUUCAACAAUUACUAACAAUUCUGAAACUGAAAAGAAACAUCGGUUCGGUUCAAAACAUUUCAGCUUGAUUCAAAGCAGUUCAACGGUAACUAAGACUCAAUUUAUUUUUUCUUUUUUUUAUAUAUAUAUUUUUCAACGGUACCAAUAAUAACAGUUCAGUUCGGUUCGGAACAGUUCGGUUCAAUUUGAAACUCUUUGGUUCAGUUCGAAAUGCAAAAAAUUCGGUUCAGUUUAGUUGUUUUACAUUUAACAAGUAGUUCAGUUCAGUUCGGUUCAAUUUUCAUCCCAAACCGAACCAUACCACCUUAUCUAGCGCAAUGUGUUGUUGUUCAUUCCAAGCACAUCUAUUCUUACCCUCUUAUUUGAUUCAAGUUUUUCACCAUUUUACGGUCUAAAUUGGGAUUUAGUGUCUUCACGAAAAUUGCAGCAGUUUUGAAUGUUAGAUUUCAUUUGCAACUAACUAGUUCGACUCCAUUAGUACAUUUAUAACUCCAAAUAUGAUUAAAAUGUUGCACAUGGUUCAUGUUGUUUUUUACUCGAACUUAGCGGUUCUAAACCAAUGAAACAAAACAAAACAACGCAAAAUUUUGGACAAGAAAAUGAAAACAUAAAUACCUUAUUUAAUCAAGAACCAUUUAUUAAAAAUAACUCAAAAACCAAUAUUAAAUUUGUUAGAACAACAACAACUAAUAAUAAAAGAUUAAAGAAACACAAAUCACAAGCAAUGGAACACAGACAUUUGUUUGUGUGCAAUUCAGUCAAUUGUGCGUAUCUCUACAAUUAUAUUUCCUUAUAUUACUUAAGCGAAUUAGGGUUUAGAGUAUUAUAAGUCAUAUAUACACACAUAAGAGGGGCAAAGGGCAAGGUAGCUACAAUGGAGUUAUAAAUCUGAUACAUAGUGUGAUUCAUUAUAUCCUACCACCCACUCUUGUUCACAUCCUAACUUAAGUGUCGAGUGCUUGCAGAUAUAUGUAAAUAUAACAUAUAAUAUAUUAAAAAGUAAGAAUGAUGCUUGAAACUUAGACAUUAGUAAAAGAAAUUACAAGGAUAUUUUGCUAUUUAUUGAUUUAUCAUAAUUAAAGUGAAUUCAGUUGCUUUGAAUGAGGACCUGGGUACUUAAAGAGUACAUACAUGUACUGGUAUUGAAGUUGCUACUCACAUGGACACGGAUACAUGUAUUUACACAAUCAACAUAUAGAAAUAUUUUACACAAUCAUCUAAUGUCACUUUAUUUAAUGAGUUUAAAAAUACAUGCAUGACUUAUUAUAAUCGUUAAUCCGCCACAUCACCCUUAUGAAUGAAAUCUAUCGAGGGUAUGGGUCAGUAAUUGAAGCAUGGUUUAUCGAUUCACCCGAUUGACUCUUGGAUUCAUUCGGUCGCAUUGCCCCUGAAUUAUCUCCCUCAAAUUGCAUGUCUCGAACUUGAAGGCUUCUAGUUCUGCCGCCCACAAUAGAUGCAGGCUCCAAAGGUACAGAGAGAGACAUAGAAUAACUACUAAGCAUGAGUACAAUGGUUGCCAUGGUUGGUCUUUCAACCAAAUUUUCUUGAACACAUAGUAAAGCAAUGUGAAUGCAUCUCAUUAUUUCAUUUAGUGAACCAUUGCUUAAUGAUGGAUCAAUUAUAUUUGUGAUUGUACCCGCCCUCCAGUUUCUCCAUGCCUGCACAAUUGCAUAUACCUUUUAUAUCGCUAAUUACAAUUCAAUCUUAACAUGCUUAAUUUCAUGUACUGAUCUUUUAAUGCAUACUUUUUCAUCGGCGUAGAAGAAAUAAUAAUGGCAGAACAGGACUUACAAAGCUAAGUAGAUCCUCCGGAUUCUGCCCAUGAAUAACGCGACAAGCUUUCUGGCCACUUAUAAUCUCCAAAACUAGUACACCAAAACUAAAAACAUCUGAUUUUACCGAAAAUUCUCCAAACAUUGCAUACUCAGGAGCCAUAUAUCCACUGCAUAUAAAAGUGAAAAUUUUUAACUAGUCAUAACUAAUGAGUCUUUUCGAGUAACAAAUAUUCAACUUAUAGUUGUUAAGGCCAGUGAUACUAUUAACAAUUUUGAUUUAAUGAGUAUAAAAGGAUUUUUCACCAAUGAUGUAUGAUAGCAUUUUAAAAGAACUUCAAUAUUAUAACAACUAUUUCAAUAGUCAACAUCAAUGAAUUACUUACAACAUAAGAUAAAGUAAUGAUGAAAAAACUUGUACUCAACAAAGACAUGGAAAUCAUAUUCUAAUACUUACUAUGUUCCAACGAUUUUAUUUGUAUUUACUUGAGUUUCAUCAACAAGAAGGAGUCUGGCCAUUCCAAAAUCUGAUAUUUUAGGAUUCAACUUUUCGUCUAAGAGAAUGUUACUCGCUUUAAGAUCACGAUGUAUAAUACGAAGUUGAGAAUCCUCGUGAAGGUAAAGAAGGCCUCUAGCAAUACCUCCAAUGAUUUUAUAGCGCCUUUCCCAAUCCAACUGUGCUUUCUUUAUUGGAUCUAUACAUACACAAAAUUAGUUAUUUUAGUAGUCAUAUGUAAGAGAGCAAUGAUCUAAUAAAGCAUAUAUUAUGGCCUACCAAAUAUAAAAUAAUCAAGACUUUUAUUCGGAACAUAUUCAUAAACAAGCAAUCUUUCUCUUCCUUCCAGACAAAAACCAAGUAGUCGAACUAAAUUUCGAUGUUGAAGCUUAGCGACUAAAAGCACUUCAUUCUUAAAUUCAACAUCCCCCUGUCCUGAAUUUGUUGACAACCUUUUGACUGCAAUGACUUGUCCACCGGCAAGUAUACCCUGCAAAUAUAUUUCAUUUGUGUAUAACAAGAAUGUUAAAGAUGAAGAAUGUGAUGUUCAUCUAAAUCAAUAGUAUUACUUACGUGAUAAACAACUCCAAAUCCUCCAUGUCCAAGUUUAUUAGCUUCAGAAAAGUUACUUGUAGCAACUUGUAAUGUCUCAAAGUUGAAUUGCAAUGACUCAGCCAUGUCAAUAUCAUCAUUGUCGUCUUCUUCGAUUUCUUCAAAAAUGAUACAAGGCAUGUUAGUAAAGUAAAAAUAGAAAAAUAUUGGCUUCCAUUUUCUCUCUAUUUUUGAAUUACUACAUCUAGUUUUUUUUAUUUGAAUGCAAAACUUUGUUAACCAUUACAACUUAAUAUUAUGAAGUAGAUUUUAAAUCGUCAAAACUCAAAAUUAUCCUGAGUUCAUACCACGAUUUAGACAGUCUACUGAAUUUAGACAAAGUCACACACCUUCGAGAUUUAUCCUUGCCUUCCUUUUCCUUAAGCAUAUGCAAAUAAAAAUUAGCAGGGCGGCAACAACAACAACAACAGUCGGCACAACUAUGGCGAUGGUAGUAUGUGAUGAUUUGCUUUUUUCUGCAAAAUGAGACAUUUCAAAGUUAAGAGUAAAAUAAUACCAACAAACAAGGUCUAUAACGACUAACUAAUGAGAAAAAGUCAAAGAUAAGAACAAGUAAAACAUGACCACCUAAUUGUAAAUAUGUUGUAACGAGCAAUUAAGAUGAUUAAUUAAUGACAAUUAGUAAUUACCUUCUUCUGAUGGGGAGGUUUCACCUGGGUCUAUUGCAGGUGUAGGAUCAUAGAAGCUAGAGGUUUCAUAUCUGAUAUUACAACUUGGUUUGAGAACUCUACCACCAAUCUUGUUAUUACAACAACUUGGAAUAUCUGAGAUAGCACCAUCUAAACAAUUAUUGCAAUCUUGCUCUGACAAAUCAGGUGUGCACUGAACAAGACCAUAUAUGGUUUGAAAAUUCAAAUUUACAUCAGUUGCAUUAUCUGUAGCAAAUUUACGACGAGAAUCACUUGAUGCAGCUUUCUCUUUCAGUUUCCUCAUCAAGUUCCCAAGAACUUGGUUAAAUUGAUCCACCUCUGUUACAUUAUAUAUGUUCCACAUAUAAAACUUUGGUGAACCUUCCAUAACGCCGAAUAUUGAUCGGUUUGAGUAACGCAACAUGCAGUUAUCAUACCAACCAAUUGCUUCUUUUUGGUUUGGACAAAGUUUUGUGAGAAGAACUCUUGAAUCGUUGAGACAACUGCGGCAAACGUCGGGUUUAACAUCUCCUCUACAGAGUCCAAUGGCGUUUACUUUGUCAGUGUUUUGGCCAUAAGAAAUAUUGUAGAAACCGUAGUUGAUUUCUGCGUUGGAAGUUAGAUUGGACAAAACGGUGUUGAGGUUGUUUUGAUAGGUGCUAUUGGCUGUGUAGUUGCCAUUAUCGUUUUUACAAAAGUUGUACAGAAAAUCAGGUUGGGCUUUGGCUUGAGAUACAAAAGUAAUGAGAAAGAGAAAAGAAUAAAAGGUAAGUAAUAACUUGCAAGAAACAAUUGCCAUGCUGAU
This 14629-nucleotide long non-coding RNA is filed under the name Medicago truncatula (barrel medic). RNAcentral's name for it is "long non-coding RNA (MTRU_LNC007809)". Lineage: Eukaryota; Viridiplantae; Streptophyta; Magnoliopsida; Fabales; Fabaceae. The record is from RNAcentral.